RNAcentral lists this ribosomal RNA (514 nucleotides) under Oncomelania hupensis hupensis. RNAcentral's name for it is "partial large subunit ribosomal RNA". It matches the Rfam family "Bacterial large subunit ribosomal RNA", at positions 1813 to 2602 of the family's 2925-position model. Lineage: Eukaryota; Metazoa; Mollusca; Gastropoda; Littorinimorpha; Pomatiopsidae. The record is from RNAcentral.
ACAUGGCUCUUUGAGAUUUAUAUAUAAAGAGUCGGGCCUGCCCAGUGAUGUAUUUUUAACGGCCGCGGUACUCUGACCGUGCGAAGGUAGCAUAAUCAUUUGCCCUAUAAUUGAGGGCUAGUAUGAAUGGUUUGACAUGAGCAUAACUGUCUCCUUAAAAUUUUAUAAAAUUUGGUUUUUAGGUGAAGAAACCUAAAUUAAAUUGAAAGACAAGAAGACCCUAUCGAGCUUUAGAAUAAUUAGUUAAAAAAUAUAAAUAAAACAAUUAAUUUUAAUUAAAAACUUUGGUUGGGGCGACUGAGGAACAUAUAAAGCUUCCUUAAUUAAACAAUGCUGAUAAGCAAUGAUCCAGGAAAUCUGAUUAAAAAAAUUAGUUACCGUAGGGAUAACAGCAUAAUCUUUUUUGAGAGCUCUUAUCGAAAAAAAGGUUUGUGACCUCGAUGUUGGACUAGGAUAUCCUAAAGAUGUAGAAGUCUUUAAUGGUUGCUCUGUUCGAGCAUAAAAAUCCUACGUG